RNAcentral lists this ribosomal RNA (389 nucleotides) under Choanoflagellata sp. RNAcentral's name for it is "partial small subunit ribosomal RNA". It matches the Rfam family "Eukaryotic small subunit ribosomal RNA", at positions 582 to 975 of the family's 1831-position model. The record is from RNAcentral. Lineage: Eukaryota; Choanoflagellata.
AUUCCAGCUCCAAUAGCGUAUAUUAAAGUUGUUGCAGUUAAAAAGCUCGUAGUUGGAUUUCUGUUCUCGAGGAUCGGUCCGCCUCACGGUGAGCACUGGUUUUUAUUGGGGACAUCCUCUCGAAGGCGGGUGGUGCACUUAAUUGUGUGCUGCUUGGAUUCGGGACCUUUACUUUGAAAAAAUUAGAGUGUUCAAAGCAGGCGUCGGCUUGAAUACAUUAGCAUGGAAUAAUGGAAUAGGACUUUGGUUCUAUUUUGUUGGUUUCUAGGACCGAAGUAAUGAUUAAUAGGGACAGUUGGGGGCAUUAGUAUUUAAUUGUCAGAGGUGAAAUUCUUGGAUUUAUGAAAGACUAACUACUGCGAAAGCAUUUGCCAAGGAUGUUUUCAUCA